Molecule: long non-coding RNA, 303 nt
Filed under: Aquila chrysaetos chrysaetos
Lineage: Eukaryota; Metazoa; Chordata; Aves; Accipitriformes; Accipitridae
Description: lncRNA (ENSACCG00020012377.1)
Source: RNAcentral
GUGGGGUGGGGGGGGCCGAGCCCGGGCGCGUCCUACCAACCGCGUCCCGCCGCCGACACCGACAUGGCCGCCGCAGGGGAGUUUUACACAGUUCUUCUGACAAGUGCAAGAUAGCCAGUGGGAAUGAGACCUGUAAUUAAUCCACUGAAUGCACAGUGCAAGCAGGACAGCUCUUGGAUGAAAAAGCUCUUCAGCCUCUGUAAGGUCUCUGUCAGAGUCUUGUGGUUCAAAUACUUCAACAAAUUCCAUGUAGUCUAACGGUAUCUUGGGACUGAUAAAGGUUGAUGCCUGGACUGGUUAAAG